This is a long non-coding RNA of Pseudoliparis swirei, 2411 nucleotides long. RefSeq lists it as uncharacterized. The record is from RefSeq and is a predicted model, not a curated record. Lineage: Eukaryota; Metazoa; Chordata; Actinopteri; Perciformes; Liparidae. The transcript is spliced from 3 exons.
AUUUGGAUGACCCUUCCGGACUGGGGGCAUUCUGCAUCUCUGCUGAACAGGACAGGGGGAGAAGAGGGGAUGAUGCAGGAGACAGACAGCAGUACUGGCAAAGAUUUCAAUCACGGGUGAUGGAUCCAUAUUUGGAUGGCCUCAUUGCUCAUCUCGAGAGACAUUUUCUUGAGGUUGGAGUCGUGGCUGCAUUUGGGAUACUUGGUCCACAAGCAGCUCCACUCCCUGACAAGACUGCACACACACAGCUGCAGAUACUAGUGGAGAAGUUUUGUUCCCGUGUUUGGCACAGUCCUUGAGGAAUGGACCUCUUUCAAGGAGCAAGUGGUCUCUGGUCCACUCAAGAACAAGACACAGUCGACCAAACCGUCUGAACUGUCCUCAAAAUAUGAGGAGUUUGGUGUCUUGUAAUACUAACACAAUACAAUAACAAUUCUGACAACACUAUUAGCCCUUACAACUUCCAGGGUGCCACAUAUGAGGUUUAUGUCUUUUAAUUGGACCAAAAGCCCAGUUGUUUUCUGAAGGCUCAUUACUCUGGAAGUGACUUCUUACUACUGCCACAAACAAAGUCACUUUGCUAUCAUCGGAUUCUCACAAUUGUUUAUCUAAAUUAUACAUGCCUAGGGCACGACCACCAUUUUAAACCAGAGAACAAUGGAGAGGUGUUCCGGAAUUUGUUUCAAUUGUCCUAUUAUGACUUUGUAUAUACCUUGAAUAAAAACAAUUAGCACUUCAGUGGCAAUUACUUAUGGUAUUACUCAUGGUAUUAUGAUACUACUCAUAGUAUUACUUAUGGUACUACUCAUGGUAUUGUGGUAUUACUUAUGGUAGUACCUAUGGUAUUUGUGUAGUUUGGCUUUCUUGAAGAAAUGUUACUUUCUUGAUUCUUGUUCUGAGUUUGUACUCUUGUUUGAUGCACUUAUUAUAAGUCGCUUUGGAUAAAGCGUCUGCUAAAAGACAUGUAAUGUAGUGUAUUAACUACUUUCGACCGUGUUUUUGCUGAUUUCUGGAGAAACAGCUGAUCGUUCACAUUAAGUUGUCCAGACGUGAGAGCUUAUUCGUUAAAAUUCUUUUGCCUCCCAUCAUUCACCUUGUGGUGGGUAGUAAUAUUCAGUACCUCACUUUUUCCCAUGAAAGACAUUUUACACUCGGUGGUGUUGAGGGAAUUGAUCCAAAAGGAUUCAGCCAUGCCGUCCAAAUGUCCUGUGAUGUGUUUGGGAUCGUCUGCCUGAGGGUUCAAACAAAGACACCGCACACGUCGACUGACGAUGUCAAGCAAAUUAACAUUCCUGGUUUAUUCCUUAAUUCCCGCAUUGAUAGGACUCCAGCUGAUGCGUUCUCCAUCGCACCUUUCACGCGUGACUUCCCCAAAAGCAACAAUUUGCGGGCCAUUUAAUUGGCUCCGCAUUAUCGAGCGGCGCCGGAUGACGGCAAAUUGCCAACGCAAAGCAUGUCUCAUUGCAAAGACAAAGAAAUGUGGGCGGACUACAAGUGAGCUGGUAAUCCCGCUCUAUUUAUUCAUUACGCGGUGGGAGACGAUACGGAGGGACCUGUGUCAGGCCUGAUAAUAAUAAUUCAUUACAACGCACAGGUCUGAAGAUGAUAUGAAAAUGGAAGAUACAACAUUGUUCCUAAAGUGCAGUUUGUUGGAAGGCAAUUAUAAUGCAUUGAAGGAGUGGCUGCCACGAUGAAUAUUACACAUUUUUUCUUAUCUUGACAUUCAGAGCAGUUUCUCUGUUGCUAAUUAUUGCUGCAAAAGAAAGAUUUCUCAGUCCGUAGAGCACGGAGCUCGGGUACCUGCCACGACUGGAAUACUAGUUACAUCAUAGGAGGCAGACAUUGGACUUCUCCUAAAAACUGCAUAUCGUGCAGUCAUGUCCAGUCAAUCCCCCCCUCCCCCACACACACUCCACCAGAGAACAGAAAAGGAAAAGUUACGAAACAUCCUUUAAACACACUUUUUUUACAAAAGGGAAACAUCAUAUUUUCCCUGUUUGUAUCUCGAUUGACACACCAACACCUUCCUUACACCGUCGAUGUCUCGAACUGUAGAAUAGGUCACAGACAAGACAAAGAGUUUCAUGUUUAUCUUUAACUCAACACCUAAUAUGGUAUUACUGAUGGUACUACUCAUGGUAUUACUCAUAGUAUUACUUAUGGUAUUAUGGUGUUACUCAAAGUAAUAUUCAUGGCAUUAUGAUACUACUCAUGGUACUCAUGGUAUUAGUCAUGGUUUCACUUAUGGUUGUACUUAUUAUUUUUGUAGUUUGGCUUUCUUGAAGAAAUAUUACUUUCUUGAUUCUUGUUGUUCCGAGUUUGUUCUCUUGGUUGACGCACUUGUUGAAAAUUGCUUUUGAUAAAAGCGUCUGCUAAAUGACAUGUAAUGAAAUAAAUAAGUUCUGAUAUUA